Non-coding RNA from Podarcis lilfordi (Lilford's wall lizard), 876 nucleotides. Lineage: Eukaryota; Metazoa; Chordata; Lepidosauria; Squamata; Lacertidae. The record is from the annotation of a GenBank genome assembly.
CUGGAACGACAAAGCUGUUAGUGCUGCAUAAUUGAACACACUUGCCUAGGCAGAAGCUGCUGGCAAGUCCUACCUCCUGAUCAAGCUGUCUCCAGGAAGACACAUAAGACAGGAAGCUUCCAUUUGCAUCUGAUCGAAUGGGCCAAGCAACACCAGUUCCUCCGGGGAAAUUGUAUAUUCUUUGGUGUAGGGAUUAACUACAUGUUGUUUGUAUAAAGGUAUGGAACAUUUUGAAAGAAGCUGGCUGGGGUGGGGAAUUUUAAACUGAAAAAUGGCAAAGGGCAGGGGUACUUAAUCCUUUCCUCCUGUCAUUUCUCUGCUCCCGUCUGGUUCAAACAGCAGGAAAGCUAUGUCACCUGUACUGAAGAAAUGGUGGGCAGGGAAAAUAUUAUGUAUCAUCACCCUCUUUUCUCCCCUGCCGCUGCCCUGUUAAUUACAGUUACAUGGAACAUGCAGUCGUUAGGGUGUUCAAGACCUCGGUUCAAGUCUUUGCUUGGACAUUAGCUUCUUUUUGUCACUACAGAUGGGGAGAAUCCUGGUUAAAUAUAAAAAUUCCUGCACACAGUAAUGAACAGUCCAAGGAAAAAAUUAACCUAGAGCACUUUUCCUUGAUAUGAGAGUUUUCCAUGUGCAGGACAAAGGGGUUAUUGGGGGGUGGGGGAAGGUAUGGAGAAGCUUUCAGUCAUGUGACGUAUUCCAACCAGCUGUUGCACACAGUUCCAGACAUAAGCUUUGCUUUCUGUAGGAGAACAACUGUAACAAAUGUUACAUCUGGAUGCAAAAAUUCAUGUGGGCACUCCUCCUUAACCACUAUGUGUUUGACCUAUGAUUACAGAUCAUCAUUAAGGAGGAGAGACCUUAAGUAUGACCCUGGGC